RNAcentral lists this ribosomal RNA (166 nucleotides) under uncultured bacterium. Its description in RNAcentral is "partial 16S rRNA". It matches the Rfam family "Bacterial small subunit ribosomal RNA", at positions 353 to 511 of the family's 1533-position model. The record is from RNAcentral.
GUAAGGGAAUCUUCCACAAUGGGCGCAAGCCUGAUGGAGCAACACCGCGUGAGUGAAGAAGGGUUUCGGCUCGUAAAGCUCUGUUGUUAAAGAAGAACACGUAUGAGAGUAACUGUUCAUACGUUGACGGUAUUUAACCAGAAAGUCACGGCUAACUACGUGACAG